UCGAGCGGACAGAUGGGAGCUUGCUCCCUGAUGUUAGCGGCGGACGGGUGAGUAACACGUGGGUAACCUGCCUGUAAGACUGGGAUAACUCCGGGAAACCGGGGCUAAUACCGGAUGGUUGUUUGAACCGCAUGGUUCAAACAUAAAAGGUGGCUUCGGCUACCACUUACAGAUGGACCCGCGGCGCAUUAGCUAGUUGGUGAGGUAACGGCUCACCAAGGCAACGAUGCGUAGCCGACCUGAGAGGGUGAUCGGCCACACUGGGACUGAGACACGGCCCAGACUCCUACGGGAGGCAGCAGUAGGGAAUCUUCCGCAAUGGACGAAAGUCUGACGGAGCAACGCCGCGUGAGUGAUGAAGGUUUUCGGAUCGUAAAGCUCUGUUGUUAGGGAAGAACAAGUACCGUUCGAAUAGGGCGGUACCUUGACGGUACCUAACCAGAAAGCCACGGCUAACUACGUGCCAGCAGCCGCGGUAAUACGUAGGUGGCAAGCGUUGUCCGGAAUUAUUGGGCGUAAAGGGCUCGCAGGCGGUUUCUUAAGUCUGAUGUGAAAGCCCCCGGCUCAACCGGGGAGGGUCAUUGGAAACUGGGGAACUUGAGUGCAGAAGAGGAGAGUGGAAUUCCACGUGUAGCGGUGAAAUGCGUAGAGAUGUGGAGGAACACCAGUGGCGAAGGCGACUCUCUGGUCUGUAACUGACGCUGAGGAGCGAAAGCGUGGGGAGCGAACAGGAUUAGAUAC
RNAcentral lists this ribosomal RNA (741 nucleotides) under Bacillus subtilis. RNAcentral's name for it is "bacterial SSU rRNA". It matches the Rfam family "Bacterial small subunit ribosomal RNA", at positions 62 to 785 of the family's 1533-position model. Lineage: Bacteria; Bacillati; Bacillota; Bacilli; Caryophanales; Bacillaceae. The record is from RNAcentral.